Molecule: unclassified non-coding RNA, 404 nt
Filed under: soil metagenome
Description: partial contains 5.8S ribosomal RNA, internal transcribed spacer 2, and large subunit ribosomal RNA
Rfam family: 5.8S ribosomal RNA (bases 1-121)
Source: RNAcentral
GAUGAAGAACGCAGCGAAAUGCGAUAAGUAAUGUGAAUUGCAGAAUUCAGUGAAUCAUCGAAUCUUUGAACGCACCUUGCGCCCUUUGGUCAUUCCGAAGGGCAUGCCUGUUUGAGUAUCAUGAACACCUCAACUCUCAUGGCUUGCCAUGAUGAGCUUGGACUUUGGGGGUCUUGCUGGCCUGCGGCCAGCUCCUCUCAAAUGAAUUAGCUUUCCAGUGUUUGGUUGGCAUCACAGGUGUGAUAACUAUCUACGCUUGUGGUUUCCACCAGGUAACCUUCAGUAACAUGGGGGUUUGCUGGAGCUCAUAAAUGUCUCUCCUCAGUGGGGACAGCUCUUUGAACGUUUGAUCUCAAAUCAGGUAGGACUACCCGCUGAACUUAAGCAUAUCAAUAAGCGGAGGA